Molecule: long non-coding RNA, 367 nt
Filed under: Bos taurus (domestic cattle)
Lineage: Eukaryota; Metazoa; Chordata; Mammalia; Artiodactyla; Bovidae
Description: long non-coding RNA NONBTAT001608
Source: RNAcentral
AAAUGAGUCAGACUUUUUAAAAAAGGGACACUUCUGCAGGAUGACUCUUUCUUCCUUCUUGAAUCCUCAGGAUUCCAUCUGGAGAAAGAAGAAAAGAAAAAAGCAAAGUCAGGAAGACCUGAAGCCUUUGCCCUGGUACCUCAGUAAAGGAGCAGCCUCAUCUUCAGGCAUGGUUCUGUACCUGGUCUCUGGUCAAAGAGUUAGACAUCCAAUGAUGUGACAAUAGCAAACCAUCCAGCCUCUCGCUCUUGGCUUUCAUGCAUGUUAAUUUUCUUCCCUUAGAAAGACUUAGCCCUGAAGGUCUAAAGCUUAACAUUUCACUUCUAAUUGAUUAACUAUUAAUACAUACACUUUGCCUUUUGUGAAU